This 1599-nucleotide unclassified non-coding RNA is filed under the name Hevea brasiliensis (rubber tree). The record is from RNAcentral. Lineage: Eukaryota; Viridiplantae; Streptophyta; Magnoliopsida; Malpighiales; Euphorbiaceae.
CAACAAAAUCAAUGAAUUCACACCUAAAAAGUAAGCAGGUUAUAACACUCAUAUUCAGCAUCAUCAACUUUCCAGUAACAAAGCAUAUCCUGACAAUUACAACAGAAUAACACAAGUGAAAUUUUGAAUAAUCAAGAGACCACAAGGCGAAAGAUGUAUCGGAGUUCACAAUACAUGUCAUUUCAAUAUCUUAGAUGCAACGAAUUCAAACUUUUUGAAGUAGUAUGUAAACCAGAAUAACAUCAACUUCUAAAUACUGUCUUCCUGAAGAAAAAGCUAUAACAAACACAAGUGACUCCAAUACAGAGGUAGCCCGGGUAGACGACAAUCAGUUUGCCUCAGUAGUAUGCUUUCCGCGGAUUGUUCAGUGGAUUUGGCCUGUACUUGUAGCCUAGCAUCAUCCGUUUCUUAUAUUGAUCAUAGAUAUCAUCUUCUGGAGUGACCUCUCCAGGUUGGUGAGCACCAACACCUAAGUUAUUUGAUUUUAUACUGCCAGCUGCUAUUGGAUCUGCAAUACCACUUUUAGAACUCCCUAGUCCUUCACCUUCUCUCCAACCCAUUUUCGAUAGAAGUUUGUGGCCAAUAUUAUCAGCUUGUAUUUUCGACCUUUCUGCUGCCUCUAUGGCUGCUUUCCGAGCACCUACGUCGUUGCAGGUAGACAAAAACUUAGCAAGCUCUUCAGGUGGGAUAUAGUCCCCCAUAUGAUGACCCUUCUUUCCUGGAACUUGGAGAGAAGCAGGUGGAGGCAUCUCAUCUUUCGAUGAUCUCGGUGCCCUCAGUUUCUCUUCAUCUGCAGCUUUCUUCAUGUAAUAUUCCAUCAUCGCUAUUGGAUCUGACCCCGAUGGACCGCUUGAAUGACCAGCAUUUCCAGCCGGUUCUGAAGAACUUGUAUUCUCUGUUGCUCCCCACAAUGCUGAUGCAGGAGUUUGGUAAUUCAAAUGCUGCUGAUGUGACCUAUGAGAACUGCUUGUUGAGCUGGGGGUAGCAGUACUAGUAGCUCUAUGUGAUGUUUGGGCUUCACUGGUCUGUGAUAGAACCUUUUCCUCUUCACUAAGCUGAUAUUCAUAGUAUUUGUAAUCAGGACAGCUUUCAUCAAAUAAGAACUUAAAUGGCGUGUCUCCCGGAUUUUUUUGGCGAGUGAUAUUCUCAAACUGCCUUCCAUGCUUAGCCACAAAACUUGCUAAUUUGUCUGCAACUUUCUUCACUGCUGGAUCACUUGGGGGAUUUGGUGCAACAUCAAUCUGUCUAAGAGGCUGGUGCAGAGCACGAGGUUCCUCCACCCUCUGCCGUUUAAUUGGCCCAUCUCCUGAAGAAUUCCCAGCAUCUUUUUCAUCCUCAUCAUCCUCAUCUUCACCUAGCUUGACAGAAGGUGCAGGUAUUUUGGAUUUCUGUUUCAGGCUGAAUGCAAGUUUCCCACCUGAAGCAACUGUGGCAGUUUUCCGCGAAGAGUUAACUUUAAAUUCCAAGCUUGGCUUACUAAUGACGGCCUUCGGAGUUGAAGCUCCCAAUAUACUGGAGGUUGUCUUAGACUCUUUUGAUGAUGAACCCUUCAAUUUCUCCUUUUCCUUCUCCUGUUGAAGCUGUUUGAACCUCUCCAUG